UUGUAAGAACGAAUUCGCCCUUAGAGUUUGAUCCUGGCUCUGGAUGAACGCUGGCGGCGUGCUUAACACAUGCAAGUCGAACGGGAAACCUUUUAUUGAAGCUUCGGCAGAUUUAGCUGGUUUCUAGUGGCGGACGGGUGAGUAACGCGUGGGGGGGCGGCCGUAUACAGGGGGAUAACAGUCAGAAAUGGCUGCUAAUACCGCAUAAGCGCACAGAGCUGCAUGGCUCAGUGUGAAAAACUCCGGUGGUAUAAGAUGGACCCGCGUUGGAUUAGCUUGUUGGUGGGGCAACGGCCCACCAAGGCGACGAUCCAUAGCCGGCCUGAGAGGGUGAACGGCCACAUUGGGACUGAGACACGGCCCAGACUCCUACGGGAGGCAGCAGUGGGGAAUAUUGCACAAUGGGGGAAACCCUGAUGCAGCGACGCCGCGUGAAGGAAGAAGUAUCUCGGUAUGUAAACUUCUAUCAGCAGGGAAGAUAGUGACGGUACCUGACUAAGAAGCCCCGGCUAACUACGUGCCAGCAGCCGCGGUAAUACGUAGGGGGCAAGCGUUAUCCGGAUUUACUGGGUGUAAAGGGAGCGUAGACGGUGUGGCAAGUCUGAUGUGAAAGGCAUGGGCUCAACCUGUGGACUGCAUUGGAAACUGUCAUACUUGAGUGCCGGAGGGGUAAGCGGAAUUCCUAGUGUAGCGGUGAAAUGCGUAGAUAUUAGGAGGAACACCAGUGGCGAAGGCGGCUUACUGGACGGUAACUGACGUUGAGGCUCGAAAGCGUGGGGAGCAAACAGGAUUAGAUACCCUGGAAGACCACGCCGUAAACGAUGAAUACUAGGUGUCGGGGAGCAUGGCUCUUCGGGGCCGUCGCAAACGCAGGAAGUAUUCCACCAGGGGAGUACGAUCGCAAGAAUGAAACUCAAAGGAAUCGACGGGGACCCGCACAAGCGGUGGAGCAAGUGGUUUAAUUCGAAGCAACGCGAAGAACCUUACCAAGGGUGGACAACCUCCUGACCGGUC
RNAcentral lists this ribosomal RNA (1014 nucleotides) under uncultured bacterium. RNAcentral describes it as "bacterial SSU rRNA". It matches the Rfam family "Bacterial small subunit ribosomal RNA", at positions 1 to 1001 of the family's 1533-position model. The record is from RNAcentral.